This 431-nucleotide ribosomal RNA is filed under the name uncultured Anoxybacillus sp. RNAcentral describes it as "bacterial SSU rRNA". It matches the Rfam family "Bacterial small subunit ribosomal RNA", at positions 952 to 1382 of the family's 1533-position model. Lineage: Bacteria; Bacillati; Bacillota; Bacilli; Caryophanales; Anoxybacillaceae. The record is from RNAcentral.
CGAAGCAACGCGAAGAACCUUACCAGGUCUUGACAUCCCCUGACAACCGAGAGAUCGGGCGUUCCCCUUCGGGGGACAGGGUGACAGGUGGUGCAUGGUUGUCGUCAGCUCGUGUCGUGAGAUGUUCGGGUUAAGUCCCGCAACGAGCGCAACCCUCGACCUUAGUUGCCAGCAUUCAGUUGGGCACUCUAAGGUGACUGCCGGCUAAAAGUCGGAGGAAGGUGGGGAUGACGUCAAGUCAUCAUGCCCCUUAUGUCUUGGGCUGCACACGUGCUACAAUGGCCGGUACAAUGGGCUGCGAUGGGGUGACCCGGAGCGAAUCCCACAAAACCGGCCCCAGUUCGGAUCGAAGGCUGCAACUCGCCUUCGUGAAGUCGGAGUUGCUAGUAAUCGCGGAUCAGCAUGCCGCGGUGAAUACGUUCCCGGGCCUU